GACAGUGUGGCAUAGUGGUUUGAGUGUUGGACUAGGACUCUGGAGACCAGGGUUCAAAUCCAUUGGGUGACC
RNAcentral lists this transfer RNA (72 nucleotides) under Phrynosoma platyrhinos (Desert horned lizard). RNAcentral describes it as "tRNA-OTHER". Lineage: Eukaryota; Metazoa; Chordata; Lepidosauria; Squamata; Phrynosomatidae. The record is from RNAcentral.